AGCAACCUCAACCUAUGAUCAAAUAAAAUCAAGGUAAGCUCUUUCAUUCAUCAUUUUAUGCAUAUAUGAGCCUAUGUGAGUGUCCUCAAUCAUUCAUUCAUCAAGAUUUGAAGUUUGGCUUUGAGAAGUUGAUCAGUCAAUUCAUCUGACUAUUUCGAAAUCCACUGAGACCUAACGUUUGAUGUGUUUGUCAAAUGAAG
Molecule: long non-coding RNA, 200 nt
Filed under: Lathyrus oleraceus (garden pea)
Lineage: Eukaryota; Viridiplantae; Streptophyta; Magnoliopsida; Fabales; Fabaceae
Description: Pisum sativum (pea) long non-coding RNA (PSAT_LNC017482)
Source: RNAcentral